GUGCUUGCUUCAGCAGCACAUAUACUAAAAUUGGAGCAAUACAGAGAAGAUUAGUAUGGUCCCUGUGCAAGGAUGACACACAAAUUCAUGAAGUGCUCCAUAAAAAU
RNAcentral lists this small nuclear RNA (107 nucleotides) under Jaculus jaculus (lesser Egyptian jerboa). The record is from RNAcentral. Lineage: Eukaryota; Metazoa; Chordata; Mammalia; Rodentia; Dipodidae.